RNAcentral lists this non-coding RNA (253 nucleotides) under uncultured bacterium. RNAcentral's name for it is "partial 16S ribosomal RNA". It matches the Rfam family "Bacterial small subunit ribosomal RNA", at positions 524 to 776 of the family's 1533-position model. RNAcentral also lists the same sequence under 1 other name. The record is from RNAcentral.
GACAGAGGGUGCAAACGUUGUUCGGAUUUACUGGGCGUAAAGCGCGUGUAGGCGGCUUGGCAAGUCGGAUGUGAAAGCCCACGGCUCAACCGUGGAAGCGCAUCCGAAACUGCUUCGCUCGAGUCUCGGAGAGGAAGGUGGAAUGCUUGGUGUAGAGGUGAAAUUCGUAGAUAUCAAGCAGAACACCUGCGGCGAAGGCGGCCUUCUGGACGAUGACUGACGCUGAGACGCGAAAGCGUGGGGAGCAAACAGG